RNAcentral lists this ribosomal RNA (492 nucleotides) under uncultured bacterium. RNAcentral describes it as "partial 16S ribosomal RNA". It matches the Rfam family "Bacterial small subunit ribosomal RNA", at positions 30 to 507 of the family's 1533-position model. The record is from RNAcentral.
AGUGAACGCUGGCGGUAGGCCUAACACAUGCAAGUCGAACGGCAGCACAGUAAGAGCUUGCUCUUACGGGUGGCGAGUGGCGGACGGGUGAGGAAUACAUCGGACUCUACUUUUUCGUGGGGGAUAACGUAGGGAAACUUACGCUAAUACCGCAUACGACCUACGGGGGAAAGCAGGGGAACUUCGGACCUUGCGCGAUUGAAUGCGCCGAUGUCGGAUUGGUUUGUGGGCGGGGUAAAGGCCCAGCAGGGCGACGAUCCGCAGCUGGUCUGGGAGGAGGGUCGGCCACACUAGAGCGGGACCGCGGACCAGACGACUACGGGAGGCAGCAGUGUGGAAUGUUGGACAAUGGUCGGAAGCCUGAUCCAGCCAGACCGCGUGGGAGAAGAAGGCGUUCGGGUUGUAAAGCCCUUUUGUUGGGAAAGAAAAGCAGCAGGUUGAUACCCCGCGGUUGUGACGGUACCCAAAGAAUAAGCACCGGCUAACUUCGUG